UACGUAGGGUGCAAGCGUUGUCCGGAAUUACUGGGUUUAAAGGGUACGUAGGUGGGCGUCUAAGUCUGGAGUGAAAGUUUGAGGCUCAACCUCGAAAGUGCUUUGGAUACUGGGCGUCUAGAAUUAGAUAGAGGUAGCUGGAAUUUGUGGUGUAGCGGUGAAAUGCAUAGAUACCACGAGGAACACCAAUUGCGAAGGCAGGCUACUGGGUCUAUAUUGACACUGAUGUACGAAAGUGUGGGUAGCGAACAGG
This 253-nucleotide ribosomal RNA is filed under the name uncultured bacterium. RNAcentral describes it as "partial 16S ribosomal RNA". It matches the Rfam family "Bacterial small subunit ribosomal RNA", at positions 524 to 776 of the family's 1533-position model. The record is from RNAcentral.